AAUGUUAAUGUGCAUAAAAAUAGCUUUAUUUCCAAUAAUAAAUCAGAACCUGCAUGCAGAAGCCAAUGAUUCAUUGGCUCCUCCACUCCAUUGGUGAUUCACAUGUGGUGUUUGUGACAUUAAGCAGCAGAACAAACUCUCCCAUGUCCACCGAGCAGACCUCGGGCCCACCGCCACAAGCCGUUUGUCUUUUAUUUCAUCAGAAUCGCUGCUCCGCCCGAAGCCGAGGUCGGUUCAGGGGAGGAAAACUCUUGAUUUCUUGGUGAUUAUUUUUGGUUUCUGGGGAGGAAGGCGGCCUUGAAGCGGCGCCAAGACGUUUCUCAAGUCUCGAAUUUUUCAAAUACUUGUUAGAAAGUUUAUCUACUAGAAGGAAAAACCAACGAAACGGCGAAUUGGGCCCGAGGUCUGCUGCUGACGACAUGGCUCAUCGACAUCCCCUGAACAACGAGAUGAACACCAACCACAUAAUCAGUCCUUCUACAAACAACAACAACAACAUAAAUACAAAAGCAAAAAACAAACAAAAAAAAAAGUCUAGAAGAUAAUAGAAACUCUUACAAAAUAAAAAGUUUCAAAACUAUUUGCCUCUGAAAAUCUCAAACUAGUGUAUAUAAAACUUUUAAAAUCACAUAUACAACAGCUUAAAAAGGGCCAAAACACCCCAAACCUGAAAGAAGGCAAUAAAAUAAUUUGACAGUUAAAUUAAUACAAAAAAAAAGAAAAAAAAAAGGGAAGGAGUUGAUCUACUGGAGGAGAAAUAAAAACACUGGAGAGGAGAGUUAGUAUUAGCAUUGGUAGUAUCAAAACUCAUUUACAUUUACAGUAAAUCACAUGAACGUUACUGCCAGGGAAACAACAAAAAAAAAACAAUUUGGCAUUUAAAUAUUUGGUAGAUAUUUCCGUUGCCAGGAUGUGGCUAAGUACCAAGUUAAUAUUUUUUUUACUUUUUGUUUUAGUGACUAUUUACAGAUCCUUGGUAGAGCAGUCGGCCGUCUCCAGCUAAGAAAUGUGAGCGUCGACCCGUUCGGCGGCGUCGGCUCGUAGACCCAGAUUCAAAUCAUAAAACAAACAGUCGGUGUAGCUUAUUGAGAAAAACCUCACGACUAACAAUAAGAGAAAAAAAGUACCAAAAACAAGUUUUCUUGAACAUUAAAAUUUAAUGAAAAGAAAAAAAAAACAAAAAAAAACUUGAGGAAUUUAAGGUUUAGUUCCACAUUUUUUGGCAAAUACAGUUUUUAACGAGAAGAUCGAUACCAAACUCGCAUCUGUGCGGUGAAAAUGAGGCUACACUUAGCCUAGCCUAGCUUAGCACAAACAGAAGGAAGCAGCUAGCCAACGUGUCGUUUAGCUCGUUUCGUUUGCCUAAUUCACACACAAACCGUCAUUUUUAUACGAUGUUGAACAAACGCUAAAUCAUUUUGAGUCUGUGACCCAUUGAGUGUUAAUGAGGCUACAGUUAGCCUAGCUUAGCACAGACGGAAGACGCUAGCCAACAUGUCAUUAUUAAACUCAAUUCUUUUGCUUAAUUCACACACGAACCGUCAUUUUUUUUCUCCUUACGAUAAGGAAACGCCAAAUCAUUUUGAGUGACCUGUUUUGAGUGUGAAUGAGGCUACAGUUAGCCUAGCUUAGCACAAACAGACGAAGCAGCUAGUCAACAUGUUUAACUUGUUCCUUUUGCCUAAUUCAUACACAAACCAUAAUUUCUAUACGAUGUUAAGGAAACGCUGAAUCAUUUUGAGUCCGUGACCCGUUUAUUGAAAUUCGACGUCACAAAAACUCAGACAAGAAAUGAGUUUAAGGAGAAUUCGGUGCCACCUGCUGUUUAUUUUUGCAAACCACCGACUGUAACGAAUGAAAA
This is a long non-coding RNA of Stegastes partitus (bicolor damselfish), 1861 nucleotides long. RefSeq lists it as uncharacterized. The transcript is spliced from 2 exons. Lineage: Eukaryota; Metazoa; Chordata; Actinopteri; Pomacentridae. The record is from RefSeq and is a predicted model, not a curated record.